This 1315-nucleotide ribosomal RNA is filed under the name uncultured bacterium. Its description in RNAcentral is "bacterial SSU rRNA". It matches the Rfam family "Bacterial small subunit ribosomal RNA", at positions 28 to 1381 of the family's 1533-position model. The record is from RNAcentral.
AACGAACGCUUGCUGCAUGCCUUAUACAUGCAAGUCGAACGGAGGCCCUAUCUUGCUAGGUGUCCUUAGUGGCGCACGGGUGAGUAACACGUGGGAACAUACCUCAUAGUACGGAAUAACUGCGGGAAACUGUAGCUAAUACCGUAUAUUCCAGUAAUGGGAAAGAUUUAUCGCUAUGAGAUUGGCCCGCGCAAGAUUAGUUUGUUGGUAAGGUAAUGGCUUACCAAGGCUACGAUCUUUAGCUGGUUUGAGAGGAUGAUCAGCCACACUGGGACUGACACACGGCCCAGACUCCUACGGGAGGCAGCAGUAGGGAAUAUUGGACAAUGGGGGCAACCCUGAUCCAUCAAUGCAGCGCGAGUGACGAAGGCCUUAGGGUUGUAAAACUCUUUCAUCGGUGAGGAUAAUGACAGUACCCCAAGAAUAAGGACCGGCUAAUUCCUUGCCAGCAGCCGCGGUAAUACGGAAGGUCCUAGCGUUGUUCGGAAUUACUGGGCGUAAAGCGCAUGUAGGCGGAACAGAAAGUUAGAAGUGAAAUCCCUGGGCUCAACCUAGGAAUUGCUUUUAAAACUUCUGUUCUGGAAUUCAGGAGAGGAAAAUGGAAUAUCCAGUGUAGAGGUGAAAUUCGUAGAUAUUGGAUGGAACACCAGUGGCGAAGGCGAUUUUCUGGACUGAUAUUGACGCUGAGAUGCGAAGGCAUGGGUAGCAAACGGGAUUAGAUACCCCGGUAGUCCAUGCAGUAAACGAUGGGUGCUAGUCGUCGGACUUAUGUUCGGUGUCGUAGCUAACGCGUUAAGCACCCCGCCUGGGGAGUACGGUCGCAAGAUUAAAACUCAAAUAAAUUGACGGGGACCCGCACAAGCAGUGGAGCAUGUGGUUUAAUUCGACGCAACGCGAAGAACCUUACCAGCGUUUGACAUGGGAAGUACCGGUUACAGAAUGGUAACCUUCAGUUCGGCUGGCUUCUACACAGGUGCUGCAUGGCUGUCGUCAGCUCGUGUCGUGAGAUGUUGGGUUAAGUCCCGCAACGAGCGCAACCCUUAUCGUUAGUUACUAACAGUUCGGCUGAGGACUCUAGCGAAACUGCCGGUGAUAAGCCGGAGGAAGGUGGGGAUGACGUCAAGUCCUCAUGGCCCUUACACGCUGGGCUACACACGUGCUACAAUGGUAACUACAACGGGACGCAAUACCGCGAGGUGGAGCAAAUCCCCAAAAGUUAUCUCAGUUCGGAUUGCACUCUGCAACUCGAGUGCAUGAAGUUGGAAUUGCUAGUAAUCGCGGAUCAGCAUGCCGCGGUGAAUACGUUCCCGGGUCU